Molecule: ribosomal RNA, 167 nt
Filed under: uncultured rumen bacterium
Lineage: Bacteria
Description: partial 16S ribosomal RNA
Rfam family: Bacterial small subunit ribosomal RNA
Source: RNAcentral
UACGGGAGGCAGCAGUAGGGAAUCUUUCACAAUGGGCGAAAGCCUGAUGGAGCAACGCCGCGUGCAGGAUGAAGGCCUUCGGAUCGUAAACUUCUGUCCUUGGGGAAGAUAAUGACGGUACCCAUGGAGGAAGCCCCGGCUAACUACGUGCCAGCAGCCGCGGUAAU